RNAcentral lists this ribosomal RNA (460 nucleotides) under uncultured bacterium. RNAcentral's name for it is "partial 16S ribosomal RNA". It matches the Rfam family "Bacterial small subunit ribosomal RNA", at positions 338 to 795 of the family's 1533-position model. The record is from RNAcentral.
CCUACGGGAGGCAGCAGUGAGGAAUAUUGGUCAAUGGGCGUAAGGCUGACGCAGCCACGUCGCGUGAAGGAAGAAGGAUCUAUGAUUUGUAAACUUCUUUUAUAGGGGAGUACAGGUAUUCACGUAAUGAGAUUUGCAUGUACCCUAUGAAUAAGCAUAGCAUAACUCAGUGCCAGCCGCCGCGCUAAUACGGAGGGUGCGAGCGUUAUCCGGAUUUGUUGGGUGUAAAGGGGGCGUAGGUUGUUUGGUAAGUCAGCGGUGAAAGUUUGUGGCUCAACCAUACAAUUGCCGUUGAAACUGGAAGACUGGAGUGUGUGUGAGGAAAGCGGAAUGCGAGGUGUAGCAGUGAAAUGCAUAGAUAUCACGCAGAACUCCGGUGGCGAAGGCAGCUUACUAAGCCAUAACUGACACUGAAGAGCGAAAGCGUGGGGAGCAAACAGGAUUAGAUACCCGAGUAGUC